RNAcentral lists this ribosomal RNA (253 nucleotides) under uncultured bacterium. RNAcentral's name for it is "partial 16S ribosomal RNA". It matches the Rfam family "Bacterial small subunit ribosomal RNA", at positions 524 to 776 of the family's 1533-position model. The record is from RNAcentral.
UACAGAGGUCCCGAGCGUUGUCCGGAUUUACUGGGCGUAAAGAGCGCGCAGGCGGUCGGAUCAGUCGAAUGUGAAAGCCCCCGGCUCAACUGGGGAGGGUCAUUCGAUACUGUCCGACUCGAAGGCAGGAGAGGGAAGCGGAAUUCCCGGUGUAGUGGUGAAAUGCGUAGAUAUCGGGAGGAACACCAGUGGCGAAGGCGGCUUUCUGGCCUAUUCUUGACGCUGAGGCGCGAAAGCUAGGGGAGCGAACGGG